AUACACCUGGCAGGGGAGAUACCAUGAUCAUGAAGGUUUUCCCAGGCAAGGCUUAUCCAUUGCACUCCAGAUGUGCUGACCCCUGUGAUUUCCCCAAAUGCAGGAAACUCAACUGCAUAAUUUGUGGUAGUGGGGGACUGCAUUCAUGCUCUACCCUG
Small nuclear RNA from Mastomys coucha (southern multimammate mouse), 158 nucleotides. RefSeq annotates it as U1 spliceosomal RNA. Lineage: Eukaryota; Metazoa; Chordata; Mammalia; Rodentia; Muridae. The record is from RefSeq and is a predicted model, not a curated record. The transcript has a single exon.